Molecule: ribosomal RNA, 253 nt
Filed under: uncultured bacterium
Lineage: Bacteria
Description: partial 16S ribosomal RNA
Rfam family: Bacterial small subunit ribosomal RNA
Source: RNAcentral
UACGUAGGGGGCAAGCGUUGUCCGGAUUUAUUGGGCGUAAAGAGCGUGUAGGCGGCCAGAUAGGUCCGUUGUGAAAACUCGAGGCUCAACCUCGAGACGCCGGUGGAAACUGCAAAGCUAGAGUCCGGAAGAGGAGAGUGGAAUUCCUGGUGUAGCGGUGAAAUGCGCAGAUAUCAGGAAGAACACCCGUGGCGAAGGCGGCUCUCUGGGACGGUACUGACGCUGAGACGCGAAAGCGUGGGGAGCGAACAGG